Molecule: RNA transcript, 3343 nt
Organism: Oncorhynchus nerka (sockeye salmon)
Lineage: Eukaryota; Metazoa; Chordata; Actinopteri; Salmoniformes; Salmonidae
Gene name: zinc finger protein 883-like
Exons: 2
Source: RefSeq, a predicted model, not a curated record
CUGCUGGGUCUGGUUGACUGCAGGAAAACACCGGGGCAGAGAGGAGAAGAAGAAGAGAAGGAAGAUGGAGAUGUGAUUUCAUUAAGAAGCAGCUGUAGGAAUCAUAGUGUAUGUUCUGAUUCUCAUCCUCUGGCUUUAUGUGGUUCAGGUGAGUGAGAGGAAUUAACCCCUUUUCAUAUUCUGUUUUAUAAUCAUUGAUCUCAAUAUUAUACUUGAUUUUAAUUGAUUAAUUAAUUCAUCCAAUCAUCUGUUCAUUUAUUUAUUCUUUCCAUCAUUCGCAAAAACAGGGAGAAGGCCUCCAAAUCCACCUCUGACAGAAGAGACACAGCAGAGAAUGGACUUGUGAGUCUGUUGGAAUCAGCUGACUGACAACGGUAUGUGUGAAUCACCCUUAGCUGCUUGGCAAAGUGGAUUUUUCUGGUUUUCAGGGAUAAAGCAUUUUCAACCUAACUACCGUUUCUUUUGAAAAACGGAAGUGUGCUGACAAACGGAAGUGUGCUGACAAACGGAAGUGUGCUGACAAACGGGAGUGUGCUGACAAACGGAAGUGUGCUGACAAACGGGAGUGUGCUGACAAACGGGAGUGUGCUGACAAACGGAAGUGUGCUGACAAACGGAAGUGUGCUGACAAACGGGAGUGUGCUGACAAACGGGAGUGUGCUGACAAACGGGAGUGUGCUGACAAACGGGAGUGUGCUGACAAACGGGAGUGUGCUGACAAACGGGAGUGUGCUGACAAACGGGAGUGUGCUGACAAACGGGAGUGUGCUGACAAACGGAAGUGUGCUGACAAACGGAAGUGUGCUGACAAACGGAAGUGUGCUGACAAACGGAGGUGUGCUGACAAACGGAAGUGUGCACUCUGCUCAGGCAUCUUUCUAUGCCAAUGACUGUGGCGUUACUGUAUUUUUCAACCGUAAUGUUAUUCGUCUUCUUUCCCCAUCAGCGAGACGCUAGUCCAAUUUAUGUCAACGGCUCAGGCAUGGCCAUGACCCCUUCUGCAGCACAGACAGCAGACACAGAUGAUCAGGAUGAUGUUCACAACAGUAUUCACCACAGAAACCAGGAAGUGCCUCUAUAUUCCACCGUCCAACUGCCUCAAACCCAGAAAUAGGUUGGGUUCUUCUAUGUGUGUAUUGGCAGUUUUUAAAAUAAAUUAAAAAGGUGCAAACUGCCGUCAUCUGUGCUGGAGUCUGUAUCGUCUGAACAGGUGCAAAGUCAAGGUUGGUGAUUUCCUGCCACCUGCAGUCAUGGAAUGUUUGCUCAGGAGUAUAAUUAAUUAGCAGACCCUUCAUGCUGACCUGGAUAUACUUUUUUUAUCCUUCCUGAACUCAUAUCAAGUCCCACCUAGUCGACUACUUCAAAAUGGUGAAAACCCUCAAUGCUGCUAUCCAUGCUAAAAUAGGCUUUGGACCAAGUGCUCCCUCUACCUACCUCUAUGGUUUGAGUCAGCUGUUGACUGCUGUCAGCUGUUGACGGCUGUUGUGUUGAGAUGCCAGUAGAGAGCACUGUGGUCCAAUUAUAUUGUAGGAUCUUAAUAGGGAUAUUUUACAACUCUCCUUCUUGUAGAAUAGCUUGACUGACUUAAACCCUUGGCUUCUAGAAGGAACAUAGGCCUCUUGUAUAAUAAGUGCUCCAUAAGAAGUUAAUAGAUUUGUUGAAAAGCCCUUUACUGACAUGUUGGUUGUCAGGAGGAGACAUGACAGGAAGACAGCUCUUCAUCACCAUUUUAGCCUCUACAUCUGGACGGUGUCAACCACAGACCUCAGACUUUGUUUCACACAUCCAAUAAGGUAUUCUAUCAAAACUCUCGCUCUCUCUUCACUCUGUAAGUACACUUGAUAAUAACUUAUACCCUACCGUUCUACUUUUUAUCGGUGAUUUGUUCUGCAGAAUGAAAGCUUGCAUGUAAAUCCAAAUGUAAAAUGGACAUCUGUAGUGUGGUGUAAUUUAUUUUGUUAUGUUCAGUUGAAUUAUGUUGAGUUGAAUUACGUAGAAGAGACCAGGAUAUAUUGUGCGCCUGAGUUCCAAAACAACAAUGCUAUAGUCAUGAUAAUGAGAAUAAAAUAAGUUUGAAACAAUUGGAGAAACAUGUCUUACAGGAGCUACACAUUUGCUACAAUAAGUGACCACCCGCCCCUCCCGUGCUUAGUUGCAGUAUGACGUGUAAUCUACAUAAUAUUAACCAUCUACAGUCGUGGCCAAACGUUUUGAGAACGACACAAAUAUGAAUUUCCAUAAAGUUUGCUGCUUCAGUGUCUUUAGAUAUUUUUGUCAGAUGUUUAAUAUGGAAAACUGAAGUAAAACUAAAACUACAAGCAUUUCAUAAGUGUCAAAGGCUUAUGUUGACAAUUACAUGAGGUUGAUGCAGAGAGUCAAUAUUUGCAGUGUUGACCCUUCUUUUUCAAGACCUCUGCAAUCCACCCUGGCAUGCUGUCAAAUAACUUCUGGGCCACAUCCUGACUGAUGACAGCCCAUUCUUGCAUAAUCAAUGCUUUGAGUUUGUCAGAAUCUGUGGGUAUUUGUUUGUCCACCCGCCUCUUGAGGAUUGACCACAAGUUCUCAAUGGGAUUAUGGUCUGGGGAGUUUCCUGGCCAUGGAACCAAAAUAUCGACGUUUUGUUCCCCGAGCCACUUAGUUAUCACUUUUGCCUUAUGACAACGUUGUGGCGAAAUCUGCACGGAGCCUUCACCGUGCGCUGCCACUUUAAGUGCAUGAGCAGUAAGGAAGGAGGAAAUAAAGAGAGCUCGUUUAGCUCUUUGGGGAGGAGCUCUUGGGUGGCGCGACAGUUUGAUUGUGUGUGCUGUGCUGCGCUGCAGAAGUUUUGUUUGUUUUCAGCGUUUGUAGUUUAUAAUGUAGUUAACUCAAUCAUCGGUGUGAUCGCUUUAGAUCGUGGUUGUUUUUGUUUGGGACCGCGCCUGUUAUGGAUCGCAUGGAUUCGUAGCAACAUUGUUGCGAAGCUUUAACAUACAAACCAACAAACCAUCGGACAGUCAGACAGUCAGAUUUCUCUUUUUCUCUCUCUUUCUCUUCCCUCUCGUUCCAGUGCUUUACCCUGCAACAGACUCUCUAUUUUUCAAAUGCACUUCCCCUUGAAGUUCAUUAGAGCUGGACUAUUAUUGCCCUGCCAGAAGUAUUUUGAUGGACAUUUUAGUUAAAAGGGAGGUUGCUUGCAAGUUGUGUAUUGUUAUGUGAACUGUAUUGAGGUGAGGUGUACUAAUGACAUGUGGCCGAGAAGACUGUGGACAUUUUUAAGGCUUUUUGUUGUGUCGCUGAACACCCCCCACAUUCAUACCCUCUGCACUCAUCCACUAGAAAAUAAUACAGAUUAUUGCAAAUCCUA